Limulus polyphemus (Atlantic horseshoe crab) is the source of this 144-nucleotide long non-coding RNA. RefSeq lists it as uncharacterized. The transcript has 3 exons. The record is from RefSeq and is a predicted model, not a curated record. Lineage: Eukaryota; Metazoa; Arthropoda; Merostomata; Xiphosura; Limulidae.
GUCUAUGAAACUCUUCAAUUCUGCAAUUUUCUCCUGUAGGAUCUUGACCCAGGCUGCACGCAAAACAUCUAGUAGCUCUCCACGGGACACUGGUUUUCUGGAACUUCUUCUCACUGCUCGAGUAAGUAUGGCCCAGACAUGCUC